UACGUAGGUGGCGAGCGUUGUCCGGAAUCAUUGGGCGUAAAGAGCGCGUAGGUGGCUUGUUAGGUCUGAUGUGAAAACUUGGGGCUCAACCCCAAGCCUGCAUUGGAAACCGGCUUGCUAGAGUCUGGGAGAGGAGAGUGGAAUUCCUGGUGUAGCGGUGAAAUGCGUAGAUAUCAGGAGGAACACCAGUAGCGAAGGCGGCUCUCUGGAACAGUACUGACGCUGAGGCGCGAAAGCUAGGGGAGCGAACAGG
Molecule: ribosomal RNA, 253 nt
Filed under: uncultured bacterium
Lineage: Bacteria
Description: partial 16S ribosomal RNA
Rfam family: Bacterial small subunit ribosomal RNA
Source: RNAcentral